Molecule: long non-coding RNA, 303 nt
Organism: Homo sapiens (human)
Lineage: Eukaryota; Metazoa; Chordata; Mammalia; Primates; Hominidae
Gene: EMC1-AS1
Product: EMC1 antisense RNA 1
Source: Ensembl
GCCGUCAUGGGUCAAAAACGCGACGCGCGGAGCGGCCUUUGCUCUCACCGGGGUCGAGCCGCGGCGAGGGAACGGAUCGGAGACGCUGCGCCUGCUCAGAAGGUAGCGCAGCGGGGAAAGGCGGGAGAGCGUUAACUUCUGAGCCUGCGCGGUGGGAGUUGCUCAAGCAGGUGGUAGCGACUUGGCUUCCGGGCAGCGGGUAAAGGAGCGGAUAUAUAUUCCAGCAGCAUGAGUAUUUUAGCCCUCUUUGCAAUUGCAGUCUUCAUUCAUUAUCAUCAAUAAACUGGCCUCUGGUUGAUUGAU